RNAcentral lists this ribosomal RNA (477 nucleotides) under uncultured organism. RNAcentral describes it as "partial 16S ribosomal RNA". It matches the Rfam family "Bacterial small subunit ribosomal RNA", at positions 332 to 800 of the family's 1533-position model. The record is from RNAcentral.
UACACUCCUACGGGAGGCAGCAGUGGGGAAUUUUGGACAAUGGGCGAAAGCCUGAUCCAGCCAUGCCGCGUGCAGGAUGAAGGCCUUCGGGUUGUAAACUGCUUUUGUACGGAACGAAACGGCCUUUUCUAAUAAAGAGGGCUAAUGACGGUACCGUAAGAAUAAGCACCGGCUAACUACGUGCCAGCAGCCGCGGUAAUACGUAGGGUGCAAGCGUUAAUCGGAAUUACUGGGCGUAAAGCGUGCGCAGGCGGUUAUGUAAGACAGUUGUGAAAUCCCCGGGCUCAACCUGGGAACUGCAUCUGUGACUGCAUAGCUAGAGUACGGUAGAGGGGGAUGGAAUUCCGCGUGUAGCAGUGAAAUGCGUAGAUAUGCGGAGGAACACCGAUGGCGAAGGCAAUCCCCUGGACCUGUACUGACGCUCAUGCACGAAAGCGUGGGGAGCAAACAGGAUUAGAAACCCCGGUAGUCCCAUGA